CAAUAGGCUUUCUUUAAAGCCAUUCAUUAUGCACAGCUUAAAGAAAG
Molecule: non-coding RNA, 47 nt
Organism: Ovis aries (sheep)
Lineage: Eukaryota; Metazoa; Chordata; Mammalia; Artiodactyla; Bovidae
Source: Rfam